GUUUCCGUAGUGUAGUGGUCAUCACGUUUGCCUCACACGCAAAAGGUCCCCAGUUCAAAAAUGGGCGGAAACA
This 73-nucleotide transfer RNA is filed under the name Danionella translucida. It matches the Rfam family "tRNA". Rfam says of the family: Transfer RNA (tRNA) molecules are approximately 80 nucleotides in length. Their secondary structure includes four short double-helical elements and three loops (D, anti-codon, and T loops). Further hydrogen bonds mediate the characteristic L-shaped molecular structure. tRNAs have two regions of fundamental functional importance: the anti-codon, which is responsible for specific mRNA codon recognition, and the 3' end, to which the tRNAs corresponding amino acid is attached (by aminoacyl-tRNA synthetases). tRNAs cope with the degeneracy of the genetic code in two manners: having more than one tRNA (with a specific anti-codon) for a particular amino acid; and 'wobble' base-pairing, i.e. permitting non-standard base-pairing at the 3rd anti-codon position. RNAcentral also lists the same sequence under 1 other name. Lineage: Eukaryota; Metazoa; Chordata; Actinopteri; Cypriniformes; Danionidae. The record is from Rfam by way of RNAcentral.